Molecule: ribosomal RNA, 253 nt
Filed under: uncultured bacterium
Lineage: Bacteria
Description: partial 16S ribosomal RNA
Rfam family: Bacterial small subunit ribosomal RNA
Source: RNAcentral
UACGGAGGGGGCUAGCGUUGUUCGGAAUUACUGGGCGUAAAGCGCACGUAGGCGGACUGAUCAGUCAGGGGUGAAAUCCCGGGGCUCAACCCCGGAACUGCCUUUGAUACUGUCAGUCUGGAGGUCGAGAGAGGUGAGUGGAAUUCCGAGUGUAGAGGUGAAAUUCGUAGAUAUUCGCAAGAACACCAGUGGCGAAGGCGGCUCACUGGCCCGGUACUGACGCUGAGGUGCGAAAGCGUGGGGAGCAAACAGG